This 538-nucleotide ribosomal RNA is filed under the name uncultured bacterium. RNAcentral's name for it is "bacterial SSU rRNA". It matches the Rfam family "Bacterial small subunit ribosomal RNA", at positions 777 to 1314 of the family's 1533-position model. The record is from RNAcentral.
AAUAGAUACCCUGGUAGUCCACGCCGUAAACGUUGGGCGCUAGAUGUGGGGACCAUUCCACGGUUUCCGUGUCGCAGCUAACGCAUUAAGCGCCCCGCCUGGGGAGUACGGCCGCAAGGCUAAAACUCAAAGGAAUUGACGGGGGCCCGCACAAGCGGCGGAGCAUGCGGAUUAAUUCGAUGCAACGCGAAGAACCUUACCAAGGCUUGACAUAUACGAGAACGCUCUAGAAAUAGAGAACUCUUUGGACACUCGUAUACAGGUGGUGCAUGGUUGUCGUCAGCUCGUGUCGUGAGAUGUUGGGUUAAGUCCCGCAACGAGCGCAACCCUCGUUCUAUGUUGCCAGCGGUUCGGCCGGGAACUCAUAGGAGACUGCCGGGGUCAACUCGGAGGAAGGUGGGGAUGACGUCAAAUCAUCAUGCCCCUUAUGUCUUGGGCUUCACGCAUGCUACAAUGGCCGGUACAAAGGGCUGCAAUACCGCAAGGUGGAGCGAAUCCCAAAAAGCCGGUCUCAGUUCGGAUUGAGGUCUGCAACUCG